CCUACGGGUGGCAGCAGUAGGGAAUCUUCCACAAUGGGCGAAAGCCUGAUGGAGCAACGCCGCGUGGGUGAAGAAGGUCUUCGGAUCGUAAAACUCUGUUGUUAGAGAAGAAAGUGCGUGAGAGUAACUGUUCACGUUUCGACGGUAUCUAACCAGAAAGCCACGGCUAACUACGUGCCAGCAGCCGCGGUAAUACGUAGGUGGCAAGCGUUAUCCGGAUGUAUUGGGCGUAAAGGGAACGCAGGCGGUCUUUUAAGUCUGAUGUGAAAGCCUUCGGCUUAACCGGAGUAGUGCAUUGGAAACUGGGAGACUUGAGUGCAGAAGAGGGGAGUGGAACUCCAUGUGUAGCGGUGAAAUGCGUAGAUAUAUGGAAGAACACCAGUGGCGAAGGCGGCUCCCUGGUCGGUAACUGACGCUGAGGUUCGAAAGCGUGGGUAGCAAACAGGAUUAGAUACCCGGGUAGUC
Molecule: ribosomal RNA, 465 nt
Filed under: uncultured bacterium
Lineage: Bacteria
Description: partial 16S ribosomal RNA
Rfam family: Bacterial small subunit ribosomal RNA
Source: RNAcentral